GAUGAACGCUGGCGGCGUGCCUAAUACAUGCAAGUCGAGCGAACAGACGAGGAGCUUGCUCCUCUGACGUUAGCGGCGGACGGGUGAGUAACACGUGGAUAACCUACCUAUAAGACUGGGGUAACUUCGGGAAACCGGAGCUAAUACCGGAUAAUAUAUUGAACCGCAUGGUUCAAUAGUGAAAGACGGUUUUGCUGUCACUUAUAGAUGGAUCCGCGCCGCAUUAGCUAGUUGGUAAGGUAACGGCUUACCAAGGCAACGAUGCGUAGCCGACCUGAGAGGGUGAUCGGCCACACUGGAACUGAGACACGGUCCAGACUCCUACGGGAGGCAGCAGUAGGGAAUCUUCCGCAAUGGGCGAAAGCCUGACGGAGCAACGCCGCGUGAGUGAUGAAGGUCUUCAGAUCGUAAAACUCUGUUAUUAGGGAAGAACAAAUGUGUAAGUAACUAUGCACGUCUUGACGGUACCUAAUCAGAAAGCCACGGCUAACUACGUG
This 497-nucleotide ribosomal RNA is filed under the name uncultured bacterium. RNAcentral's name for it is "partial 16S ribosomal RNA". It matches the Rfam family "Bacterial small subunit ribosomal RNA", at positions 28 to 507 of the family's 1533-position model. The record is from RNAcentral.